This 297-nucleotide ribosomal RNA is filed under the name Triticum aestivum (bread wheat). RNAcentral's name for it is "partial small subunit ribosomal RNA". Lineage: Eukaryota; Viridiplantae; Streptophyta; Magnoliopsida; Poales; Poaceae. The record is from RNAcentral.
AUGGCUGCUGGCGGCAGAAUGAUGGAGAAGGAGCGGGAGAAGCAGGAGAUGCUCGGCCGCGCUAGCGCCAGUGAGAUCUUCCAGCGUGCGCCGACGGACAAGCCGGCAUUCACGCUGGCCCAGAUCAAGAAGGCAAUCCCGCCUCACUGCUUGCAGUGCUCGGUGAUCAGGUCCUUCUCCUAUGUGGUCUAUGACCUUGUCAUCAUCGCGUCCCUCCUAUACGCCGCGUUGGUCUGGAUCCCAACACUCCCGAGCAUGCAACAGUUGGGCGCCUGUCAGCUCUACUGGGUCAUGUAG